RNAcentral lists this long non-coding RNA (399 nucleotides) under Homo sapiens (human). RNAcentral's name for it is "long non-coding RNA NONHSAT235009". Lineage: Eukaryota; Metazoa; Chordata; Mammalia; Primates; Hominidae. The record is from RNAcentral.
GGGAUGGAGAAGGCACACACUAAGAUGCUUUAGGAGAAAGCAUUGACAGCAUUCUUGGAGAAAAAAUUUUAACUUGUCUGAGAGGGUGGUUGAAACUGGAACUCCAGAGAUAGAUGCUGGAAGACCCUGGGAACUGCAAGGAAGCAAAUAAUGACAUCCAGGCAAGGCCACUAACCCCUGAGCUACUUAAAUAUAAUGGUUCCUUUCAGACUGAUACCAGGAACCUCCUUAAGCAUAUAAGCAUAUAUUUUUUAAUUCUCUAUAAUCUGUUUCUUUUUGGAUGACUAUGAAGUAGAUUGGGUAGACUGAAGCUCACUGUAUUCUUGGCUGACGGUAUCCCACUGUGUUUCCUUCACUGGUUUCUCGUCAUGUCUCCUUUAGUAUGAUUUAGUAAAUGGC